Molecule: ribosomal RNA, 253 nt
Filed under: uncultured bacterium
Lineage: Bacteria
Description: partial 16S ribosomal RNA
Rfam family: Bacterial small subunit ribosomal RNA
Source: RNAcentral
UACGAAGGGGGCUAGCGUUGUUCGGAAUUACUGGGCGUAAAGGGCGCGUAGGCUGUGCUGUAAGUCAGGCGUGAAAUCCCCGGGCUCAACCUGGGAAUUGCGUUUGAUACUGCGGCGCUGGAAUGCAGGAGAGGAUGGCGGAAUUCCCAGUGUAGAGGUGAAAUUCGUAGAUAUUGGGAAGAACACCGGUGGCGAAGGCGGCCAUCUGGCCUGUAAUUGACGCUGAGGCGCGAAAGCGUGGGGAGCAAGCAGG